Molecule: ribosomal RNA, 829 nt
Filed under: uncultured bacterium
Lineage: Bacteria
Description: bacterial SSU rRNA
Rfam family: Bacterial small subunit ribosomal RNA
Source: RNAcentral
AGCGUUGUUCGGAAUUACUGGGCGUAAAGGGCGCGUAGGCGGUAUAAUAAGUUAGGUGUGAAAUCUUCGGGCUUAACCCGGAAAGUGCACUUAAAACUGUUAUACUAGAGUUCGGGAGGGGAAAGCGGAAUUCCUAGUGUAGAGGUGAAAUUUGUAGAUAUUAGGAAGAACACCGGUGGCGAAGGCGGCUUUCUGGAGCGAUACUGACGCUGAGGCGCGAAAGCGUGGGGAGUAAACAGGAUUAGAUACCCUGGUAGUCCACGCUGUAAACGAUGAACACUAAGUAUAGGAAGAUUAUUCUUUCUGUGCUCAAGCUAACGCGUUAAGUGUUCCGCCUGGGGAGUACGGUCGCAAGAUUAAAACUCAAAGAAAUUGACGGGUGCCCGCACAAGCGGUGGAGCAUGUGGUUUAAUUCGACGCAACGCGAAGAACCUUACCUGGGUUUGACAUCCUCUGACAAUUAUAGAAAUAUAACUUUUUCAGCAAUGAAACAGAGAGACAGGUGCUGCAUGGCUGUCGUCAGCUCGUGUCGUGAGAUGUUGGGUUAAGUCCCGCAACGAGCGCAACCCUUAUCUUUAGUUACCAUCAUUCAGUUGGGCACUCUAGAGAAACUGCCGGUGAUAAAUCGGAUGAAGGUGGGGAUGACGUCAAGUCCUCAUGGCCUUUAUAUCCAGGGCUACACACGUGCUACAAUGGUUUGGACAAAGAGACGCAAGUUGGUGAAAACAAGCAAAUCUCAUAAACCAAAUCUCAGUUCGGAUUGAAGUCUGCAACUCGACUUCAUGAAGUCGGAAUCGCUAGUAAUCACAGAUCAGCAUGCUGCGGUGAA